This is a long non-coding RNA of Gadus macrocephalus (Pacific cod), 1225 nucleotides long. RefSeq lists it as uncharacterized. Lineage: Eukaryota; Metazoa; Chordata; Actinopteri; Gadiformes; Gadidae. The transcript is spliced from 6 exons. The record is from RefSeq and is a predicted model, not a curated record.
CCUGGGCAAGGCAUCGGGCGCCAGGAAGGACCGAGGCUGAUCACCAAGCUGUUCUGAAACGCCAAAGGCCAGAGAUUAUUAUCUUAGUUUUUUGUUUUUCCUUAUUAGUAGUUCUGAUUUUAAUUCUGUGAUUUGAGGUAAUAUCUUGGGUGAUCCGAGUAGUGAGCUGUUUUUGCCCCUAUUGCUGCUACUAUAGUUUAUACAUGACUCAAUACGAUGACAUGUAAACUUAAAGUUUCAUAUUUGUUACCGCUUUACAAGUGCAAGGGUUUUUGUUACCAGAUGUUUUGACCGAGCUAUCACUGUUACCAGACAUUGUGGUGAAACCGUCUUAUUGUUUUCCCAGAAUAGGAGCUGUGGUGGAGGGCAGCUAAUGGCGAUCGGUGCUGGAGGACCUGCUGGGGAAGGACAUCCCUCAUGGGGGUCGAGACAUCCGUCUCCGAGAUGUGAAGGCUGCAGAGGACCCACCAGGAUCCCCUUGGAGGACAGCGAUGGGACUGCUUGAGGUCUUUGGAAGCACUUCAGUUCAGAAUGCCUUCCAAAGAAUGAAGCCCAACCCCCAUGGCUCAGCUAAUGGCGUUCAGCGGACCAGGAACCCCGAGACCUGACGGAGGAGCCGUGCAUCUGGAGGAACACCAUGAGGCUACCUGCUAAGUAUGACUCACUUCCACGAGGAGGGGGGCUGGCGGCUGGAGGACCUCCCUGCUGUUGGGGCGAGUGACACCCAACUCUACAGGGCUGACCACGGAGGAGAGAGCUGAAGCUGUGCAUCCUGAAGGCGCGGUUGAAGUGCUGUGUUCAGUCUGGGAAGGACACACCUGAGCUGUUCCACAACUGAAUCUCUUAACCGCUAAAGCCCUUCAGUGACCAACAAAUGGUGCCUCAUCACAGCUCAACAUCGCUGGCCUGUGGAUUCAUCUCCUACACUCACACAACGUGACUUUGUAACCAUCUGUUGCACGUUGGGAUGCUAACGUGUUCCACCAGGGGUUCCUUCCUUCCCACCGUGGGAGUGUUCCUUGUCCUUCGAGGAGUUAGGGUUCAGUGUUAGGGACAGAGUUAGGGAGAGAUGGUUGAGUCCUGGCUGGUUCACGAUGAACCGCUCUGAUGGUUUUUCAAAUUGUGUUUGGAUGCAACGCUUUGCCAAAAUGUUUUAAUGUACAAACACUCACAUAAACAUGCAUAAAAUGUAUACCAAGUGUGUUUAUAAAAUGAAUUCCGAUAA